AACGAACGCUGGCGGCAGGCCUAACACAUGCAAGUCGAACGAGAUCUUCGGAUCUAGUGGCGGACGGGUGAGUAACGCGUGGGAACGUGCCCUUCUCUACGGAAUAGUCCUGGGAAACUGGGUUUAAUACCGUAUACGCCCUUCGGGGGAAAGAAUUUCGGGGAAGGAUCGGCCCGCGUUGGAUUAGGUAGUUGGUGGGGUAAUGGCCUACCAAGCCGACGAUCCAUAGCUGGUUUGAGAGGAUGAUCAGCCACACUGGGACUGAGACACGGCCCAGACUCCUACGGGAGGCAGCAGUGGGGAAUCUUGGACAAUGGGGGCAACCCUGAUCCAGCCAUGCCGCGUGCGUGAAGAAGGCCUUAGGGUUGUAAAGCGCUUUUAUCGGGGAUGAUAAUGACCGUACCGAUGAAUAAGCCCCGG
This 420-nucleotide ribosomal RNA is filed under the name uncultured bacterium. RNAcentral describes it as "bacterial SSU rRNA". It matches the Rfam family "Bacterial small subunit ribosomal RNA", at positions 29 to 496 of the family's 1533-position model. The record is from RNAcentral.